CUGGUGGCUGUUUUGCUAUGCAGUGGAUGCUUAUCUGGUGAUCCGGAGAUCGGCAGGACUGAG
This 63-nucleotide small RNA is filed under the name Pongo abelii (Sumatran orangutan). RNAcentral's name for it is "processed transcript". Lineage: Eukaryota; Metazoa; Chordata; Mammalia; Primates; Hominidae. The record is from RNAcentral.